This 1017-nucleotide long non-coding RNA is filed under the name Canis lupus dingo (dingo). RNAcentral describes it as "lncRNA (ENSCAFG00020027300.1)". The record is from RNAcentral. Lineage: Eukaryota; Metazoa; Chordata; Mammalia; Carnivora; Canidae.
ACUGCUGAGCCCUCCAGGGGUCCCCUGGCCCUGGUACUUUUUGGAAAGAUUCUCCUUGAUCAGAGACCCUACCUUCCCGUAGCUUCUCUUGAGUUUCACAAAUUCCUCAAUUCCUUCAUCCUCCCACCACUAGGUCUUGAGCACCUGCUACGUGUGGGGCGUCGGGCCGGGCCAGGGUGCAGUGGGGGACAAACCCAACCGGCCGCCCGGGUUCCUGAGGCUCGGCGGCCCCACUCUAAGGGGCCACGGGGCCGGGGGGUGGGCGGCAGAGGGGAAGAGUGGAGCAGGGGCUGGGGACACGUGGGCCAAGCUGGCCAGGAGGCAACCGGCAGCAGAGGUGGUGGCAGGGGACGCAUCGCGGUGAGGCCUGCGUCUGCAGCCUGGGGCCUCCAUCGCCUCUCCACCCACCAGGUAACAUCCACGCAGGGACCCACAGGUGCUAACGGAGUGGGCCAAUACUGCGAUCCCUUUCCCCAAACCGGAGGUGACACGGGCGGCGCCAGGGGCCGCGAUCAGGGCCCCGACAGCUGGUCCCCUGCAAGGGGUCAGUGCCCGUGGCCUCCUGUUGGUUGUGGGCAGCUUUCCAGGAGGGAGAAGGGCCGAAGCGGGAGCCCUGGGAGAGUGGGUGCAGGGGGGCCUCCGAUGACCCCUGCCCUCUCCUCCCUGCGAGCUGCCGGGGCGGGGGUGCCAACGGCCCCCUGGCCCAGGGCCUUCAGCCGCCCUGAAGGCACGUGCCCAUCGCCGGGCAUCGAAACGGUUAACAGAGCGGCUCUUCUGUGGGCUUGGGGUCUAUGCCCUCCUUCUCUUAGAUUCCCGAAGAGCCUUGGAAAUCCAGAAAGCUCUGUGCCGCCGGCUGCCCUUUGCUGCCUAGAGCUGGAAAGGCCCUUGCCCACUGCCUGCCAAGGUCUGGGCCUGCAGCCGCGCUCGCCCUCUCCCCGAGGUGGCCAACCCGCCGGCCUCGCAAAACAGGGAGCCCAGCAAGAAAAAAAAAGUCACUUGAAUUUUAUAAAGUGGUAA